AUGUCUUCCAUAGGGUUUAGCUAUGCACAGGUACACGUGAAGCAAGAGAGACCGAGGAGGAAGAUCAGCGACGGCGAGAAGGCCGCGGCAACGACCACGAUGAGCAAAUUCAUGGCUGGCGAAGAAGGGCAGAGGAAGAAGGGCUCUAUGGGUGAAGAGGAGAAGAAGGCAGCUUGCAACUCAUGGACCGCAGGGAGGGUGCAUCCAUUCGCGUCUUCCCCGGCGGCUGCGGCGCCAAAGGGUGGGCACCGAUGA
RNAcentral lists this ribosomal RNA (255 nucleotides) under Triticum aestivum (bread wheat). RNAcentral's name for it is "partial small subunit ribosomal RNA". The record is from RNAcentral. Lineage: Eukaryota; Viridiplantae; Streptophyta; Magnoliopsida; Poales; Poaceae.